GAUGAAGAACGCAGCGAAAUGCGAUACUUGGUGUGAAUUGCAGAAUCCCGUGAACCAUCGAGUUUUUGAACGCAAGUUGCGCCCGAAGCCUUUUGGCCGAGGGCACGUCUGCCUGGGCGUCACGCAUCGCGUCGCCCCCCACAACUCUCCGUAAAGGGAACUUGUGUUUUGGGGGCGGAUAUUGGUCUCCCGUGCUCAUGGCGUGGUUGGCCGAAAUAGGAGUCCCUCCGGUGGACGCACGAACUAGUGGUGGUCGUAAAAACCCUCGUCUUUUGUUUCGUGCCGUUAGUCGCGAGGGAAACUCUUUAAAAACCCAAAUGUGUCGUCUCUUGACGGCGCUUCGACCGCGACCCCAGGUCAGGCGGGACUACCCGCUGAGUUUAAGCAUAUCAAUAAGCGGAGGA
RNAcentral lists this unclassified non-coding RNA (404 nucleotides) under soil metagenome. RNAcentral describes it as "partial contains 5.8S ribosomal RNA, internal transcribed spacer 2, and large subunit ribosomal RNA". The stretch from base 1 to 122 matches the Rfam family "5.8S ribosomal RNA", at positions 35 to 154 of the family's 154-position model. The record is from RNAcentral.